AUGCAGGCCUACCUGCAAGAGGCGGAGCAGUUCAAGGACACUGACAAGACCACCGCGAUCUUCAUCGGCAAGAUCAGGGGCCUCGCCUUCCAGAUCGAGGACGUCGUCGACGAGUUCAACUACAAGCUGGAGGACUGCAAGCACGGCAGGUUCACAGGCAAGAUGAAGAAGCGGCUCAAGCAUAUCAAGACCUGGCGCCGCCUGGCAGCCAAGCUCCAAGAAAUCGAAGCCCAGCUGCAGGAUGCCAAUCGAAGGAAGAAGGAUUAUGCCGUCACCGGCAGAUCUGCUUCUGCUGCUAGAUCGACAAGAGAAGGUCAAGCUUUGCACUUCACCAGGGAUGAGGACCUUGUUAGGAUCGAAGAACACAAGGAGGGGUUGAUACAGUGGCUGAAUGGAGGUGGUGAUGAUCCGGAGCGGAGCAGCAGCAAAGUCACCAUGGUGUGGGGGAUGCCUGGUGUUGGUAAAACCACUCUCGUUGAUCAUGUGUACAACACCGUGAAAGCGGAUUUCGACGGUGCGGCGUGCGUAACUGUGUCGGGGAGUUACCGUAUUGAGAAUCUACUAAAGAAGAUUGCCGCCCAGUUCAACAUCACAGUCGAUGUCACCACUGUUGAGAUGAGAGGCCUAGCAAAAUCCAUCCUUAACUACCUUCAAGGUAAAAAGUACAUCUUGAUACUGGAUGGUGUUUGGGAUGAGCACUUGUGGUCGGAGAUAAGGGAUGUCUUCCCAACAUCUAAUUGUACCGGCCGAUUUGUUAUCACAUCAAGAAAGCAGGUUGUGUUGGCAACUAGGGAGUCUGCAUAUGCAAUUCACUUGGAACUGCUACAAGAACAUUACUCCUGGCUGUUAUUUACCAAUGAAGCCUUUGGGAAUGCUGAUGACAAAGAGUGCCCGUUGGAGCUGCAGGAAUUGGCUCGGAAGUUCAUAGCAAAGUGUCAAGGCUUGCCUAUUUCUAUUAGAUGCAUUGGCCGCCUACUCUCCCUGAAACCCCCAAUUUCCGCUGAAUGGGAGGAUGUGUACAGGGGUUUGGAUUUACAGAUGGCGAAAGAUGUGAUCCCUGAUGCUCAUAUGAUCCUAAAGGUCAGCUUGGAGGCCCUUCCAUACAAUCUGAAGAAUUGUUUCAUACAUUGUGCAUUGUUCCCAGAUGAUUAUGUAUUAAAGAGGAUGAAGAUGAUCAGGCAGUGGAUCGCGGCGGGGUUUAUCUGGGAAAAAGAUGAUAGCAAAACAUUGGAGGAAGUGCCAGAGGGAUACUUGGUUUAG
Molecule: ribosomal RNA, 1260 nt
Filed under: Triticum aestivum (bread wheat)
Lineage: Eukaryota; Viridiplantae; Streptophyta; Magnoliopsida; Poales; Poaceae
Description: partial small subunit ribosomal RNA
Source: RNAcentral